GGGGGGAUAGCACAAGGGCUUAAGGCAUUGGUUUGCUACAUCAUGCAUGGGUUCGAAUCCCAUUUCUUCCA
This 71-nucleotide transfer RNA is filed under the name Lactuca sativa (garden lettuce). RNAcentral's name for it is "tRNA-Ser". It matches the Rfam family "tRNA". Rfam says of the family: Transfer RNA (tRNA) molecules are approximately 80 nucleotides in length. Their secondary structure includes four short double-helical elements and three loops (D, anti-codon, and T loops). RNAcentral also lists the same sequence under 3 other names. Lineage: Eukaryota; Viridiplantae; Streptophyta; Magnoliopsida; Asterales; Asteraceae. The record is from RNAcentral.